RNAcentral lists this ribosomal RNA (492 nucleotides) under uncultured bacterium. RNAcentral's name for it is "partial 16S ribosomal RNA". It matches the Rfam family "Bacterial small subunit ribosomal RNA", at positions 29 to 507 of the family's 1533-position model. The record is from RNAcentral.
AGUGAACGCUGGCGGUAGGCCUAACACAUGCAAGUCGAACGGCAGCACAGUAAGAGCUUGCUCUUACGGGUGGCGAGUGGCGGACGGGUGAGGAAUACAUCGGAAUCUACUUUUUCGUGGGGGAUAACGUAGGGAAACUUACGCUAAUACCGCAUACGACCUACGGGUGAAAGCAGGGGAUCUUCGGACCUUGCGCGAUUGAAUGAGCCGAUGUCGGAUUAGCUAGUUGGCGGGGUAAAGGCCCACCAAGGCGACGAUCCGUAGCUGGUCUGAGAGGAUGAAUCGGCAAAACGGAAAUGAGAACACGUUCCGAACUCCAAGGGAGGCCACAGUGGGGAAUAUUGGACCAAGGGGGGAAGCCUGAUCCAGGCCAUACCGGUGGGUUAAGGAGGGCUUUCGGUUUGUAAGGCCCUUUGUUGGGAAAAAAAAGCCGCCGGGUAAUUACCCGGUGUUUCGGCCGUAACCCAAGGAUAAGGCACGGCCAAACUUGUG